AAAAAUAAAAAAUAAAAAAUAAAUUUAUUUGUUCAACUUUACUAAAAAAGGAGGCUAGUACUUUGGAACGAUCGUCUUGAGCAAGCGAGCACCGAUCGUCGUCUUCGGCGAGAGCGAGCGAACAAGCACCGACCGUCUUCUUCAGCGAGCGAGCAGCGAUCGUCUUCUUCAUCGAGAGCAAGCAACGAUCGUCUUCUUCGUCGAGCGAGCGAGUGUCCUCUUUGUCUCUGUGGUUUUGAUUUCUAGGUUUUGUCCUAAUUUCAAGUUUCAUCUGGAAGCUUCUCUGCUCUCAAUGACCCAGAGUGUUUUAGAAUGAGAGAAAUGGUAUAUCCCUCUCAUACGGAUCAUCUACAUACAUAUGUUGCAUUGCAUAGUAAAGAAGAAGCAGAGAAUAACUAUCUAAACUCAUUUUCAUCUGGAUACAAAGAAGAAGCACUGUAGCAGAGGCAGUCAUGGACUAAUACUCUGGUUCCACAAGCUGCCACUACGACAAAAAAUGUUUUAAGUCUCAAGAGUUUUGGCUCCAAGGGCUUUGGUGUGUUCUCAUCCUUCUGGGUUUGAUGUUUGAGAACUUUCAGAAGAUGCUCCCGAUGAUAUAGAAGGGUUGGAUGCUUCUGCAGCACAUGUUGCAAAUUUGCUAUCAACAGAGCCUGAUGACAAUAGGUUAUGAUGUGGUUCCUUAUAAGUUUGGUGAGAAAUCUUCGCAGACUUUGAGUUCAACUGGCUAUCAGAACAUGACUUUGAGUUCCUUAUAAGUUUGCUUAAAUAUGUGUGUGGUAGACAAUAGAGGGGUUUUUCGAGCAGUAGGUUCAUUGUAUUUUGCUGUGUUUGUAGGAAUGGGCUCAUAAGCAUUACACAGCAAAAGCAUCAAGAGGGGCCAUCUCAACAAUGGAGAAACUUCUACUAAUUCAGGAUGCAAAAUACAACUAAUUCAGGGAUGCGGAAUACAUUUAUCAAUUUAUUUUUAGAUUUUUUUUUUGAGAGAUACAUGUCUUGUGAAUUUGUUGGAGGAAUGUUGAUACAUAUAUAGUUUUUUUUAAAUGAUAUAUGAUGCCCAUUUUGUUAUUUUA
Non-coding RNA from Prunus avium (sweet cherry), 1070 nucleotides. The record is from RefSeq and is a predicted model, not a curated record. NCBI's taxonomy places the organism in Eukaryota, Viridiplantae, Streptophyta, Magnoliopsida, Rosales, Rosaceae.